UCGGGCAGGAAAUCCAAAGUGUGGGAUCAUUUUGAGAAGGUGAAGGACGAACCCAAGGUGAUAUGUAAACUCAUCUUCAUUGGUGGACUACAAACAUGACGUAUCAUCUGAAACAUGGAAGUAGCUACAUGCCCAUUAGCCCACAGCGUCAUUAACAGGCGGCUCGCUCAGUGUGUGACGUGCACUUGGAGAUAAAAUAUAGGCCUAUAUUAAUGAAGGUUCAUUAGUACGGUUUGUAUUUCUCUGUAAUGUAGCACAGUGUUAACAAUGUUACUGAUACUAUUCUUUCUCACACCUUCAACUCAAACCACCAAAAUAUAUCAUUUCAUCAUUACAUUCAUAUCAGAAACAUGCAGGAGACUAGUCCACUGAUGGACCCUGAUGAGGACUGUUGGUCCACUGAUGGACCCUGAUGAGGACUACUAGUCCACUGAUGGACCCUGAUGAGGACUGUUGGUCCACUGAUGGACCCUGAUGAGGACUGUUGGUCCACUGAUGGACCCUGAUGAGGACUACUAGUCCACUGAUGGACCCUGAUGAGGACUGUUGGUCCACUGAUGGACCCUGAUGAGGACUGUUGGUCCACUGAUGGACCCUGAUGAGGACUGUUGGUCAGCUAGGAA
Epinephelus moara (kelp grouper) is the source of this 623-nucleotide long non-coding RNA. RefSeq lists it as uncharacterized. The transcript is spliced from 3 exons. NCBI's taxonomy places the organism in Eukaryota, Metazoa, Chordata, Actinopteri, Perciformes, Serranidae. The record is from RefSeq and is a predicted model, not a curated record.